Molecule: ribosomal RNA, 467 nt
Filed under: uncultured bacterium
Lineage: Bacteria
Description: partial 16S ribosomal RNA
Rfam family: Bacterial small subunit ribosomal RNA
Source: RNAcentral
GACGAACGCUGGCGGCGUGCUUAACACAUGCAAGUCGAACGGAAAGGCCCUGCUUUUGUGGGGUGCUCGAGUGGCGAACGGGUGAGUAACACGUGAGUAACCUGCCCUUGACUUUGGGAUAACUUCAGGAAACUGGGGCUAAUACCGGAUAGGAGCUCCUGCUGCAUGGUGGGGGUUGGAAAGUUUCGGCGGUUGGGGAUGGACUCGCGGCUUAUCAGCUUGUUGGUGGGGUAGUGGCUUACCAAGGCUUUGACGGGUAGCCGGCCUGAGAGGGGGCCCGGCCACAUGGGCCGUGAGAUACGGCCCAGACUCCUACGGGAGGCAGCAGUGGGGAAUAUUGCACAAGGGGCGGAAGCCUGAUGCAGCAACGCCGCGUGCGGGAUGACGGCCUUCGGGUUGUAAACCGCUUUCGCCUGUGACGAAGCGUGAGUGACGGAAAUGGGUAAAGAAGCACCGCCAAACUACGU